UACGGAGGGAGCAAGCGUUACUCGGAAUUAUUGGGCGUAAAGGGCGCGUAGGCGAUCUGACAAGUCGGCUGUGAAAGCCCAGAGCUUAACUUUGGAAGAGCAGCUGAGACUGUUGGAAUUGAGUACAGGAGAGGAAGGCAGAAUUCCCGGUGUAGCGGUGAAAUGCGUAGAGAUCGGGAGGAAUACCAGUGGCGAAGGCAGCUCGCUGGGACGGUACUGACACUGAGGCGCGAAAGCGUGGGGAGCGAACAGG
Molecule: ribosomal RNA, 253 nt
Filed under: uncultured bacterium
Lineage: Bacteria
Description: partial 16S ribosomal RNA
Rfam family: Bacterial small subunit ribosomal RNA
Source: RNAcentral